Non-coding RNA from Triticum aestivum (bread wheat), 119 nucleotides. The record is from Rfam. Lineage: Eukaryota; Viridiplantae; Streptophyta; Magnoliopsida; Poales; Poaceae.
UAUAUAUUACCUCCGUCCCAAAAAGCUUGUCUUACAUUUAUCCGUAUCUAGAACGUGUCUAGAUACAUCCGUAUCCAGACAAAUCUAAGACAAGCUUUUUGGGACGGAGGGAGUAGUAU